GACAGAGGGUGCAAACGUUGCUCGGAAUCAUUGGGCGUAAAGCGCACGUAGGCGGUUCGUUAUGUCGGAUGUGAAAGCCCUCGGCUCAACUGAGGAAGUGCACCCGAAACUGGCGAGCUUGAGUACGAAAGAGGAUCGCGGAAUUCCCGGUGUAGAGGUGAAAUUCGUAGAUAUCGGGAGGAACACCGGGUGGCGAAGGCGGCGAUCUGGGUCGAUACUGACGCUGAGGUGGCGAAAAGCGUGGGG
Molecule: ribosomal RNA, 246 nt
Filed under: uncultured bacterium
Lineage: Bacteria
Description: partial 16S ribosomal RNA
Rfam family: Bacterial small subunit ribosomal RNA
Source: RNAcentral